CGCGUAGGCGGGUUCUCCAGUCAGGGUGAAUCGUUCGGCUCAACCGGACAAGUGCCCCUGAUACUGAGAGUCUCGAGGGAGGUAGGGGCAUGUGGAACUUCCGGUGGAGCGGUGAAAUGCGUAGAUAUCGGAAGGAACGCCGGUGGCGAAAGCGACGUGCUGGACCUCUUCUGACGCUGAGGCGCGAAAGCCAGGGGAGCAAACG
Molecule: ribosomal RNA, 205 nt
Filed under: uncultured bacterium
Lineage: Bacteria
Description: partial 16S ribosomal RNA
Rfam family: Bacterial small subunit ribosomal RNA
Source: RNAcentral